RNAcentral lists this ribosomal RNA (232 nucleotides) under uncultured bacterium. Its description in RNAcentral is "partial 16S ribosomal RNA". It matches the Rfam family "Bacterial small subunit ribosomal RNA", at positions 334 to 562 of the family's 1533-position model. The record is from RNAcentral.
UUCACCUACGGGAGGCAGCAGUGAGGAAUAUUGGUCAAUGGGAGAGAUCCUGAACCAGCCAAGCCGCGUGAGGGAAGACGGUCCUAUGGAUUGUAAACCUCUUUUGUCGGGGAGCAAAGAGAUCACGUGUGGUCAAAAGCGAGAGUACCCGAAGAAAAAGCAUCGGCUAACUCCGUGCCAGCAGCCGCGGUAAUACGGAGGAUGCGAGCGUUAUCCGGAUUUAUUGGGUUUA